UAGCCGCAAUCUUCUGUGCUAAGGUAGCAUAAUCAUUAGUUCACUAAUUAUGAAAUAGAAUGAAUGAUCUCACGAAUAAACUAAUUUUUUUAUUAUCUUUAAAUAAAUUCAUUUUGUAGUCAAAAAGCUCCAUUUUCAAAGAAAGACAACAAGACCCUAACGAACUUUUACUAAAAGUUUAACUGGGGCGGUUAUCAAGAACAUCUUCCUUCCUCUUUCCAUUUAUCCAAAAAAUUUGACUAUUCCAAGUUACCGUAGGGAUAACAGCAUAAUGACUUUCUCAAGCUCUUAUAUAAAUAGUUCUUAUGACCUCGAUGUUGAAUUAAAUACCUAGUCCAAGCAAGAUUAGAACUUUUUCAGGAAGUCUGUUCGACUUUUAAUUUUUUACAUGAU
RNAcentral lists this ribosomal RNA (393 nucleotides) under Telema cucurbitina complex sp. Cave_num2. Its description in RNAcentral is "partial 16S ribosomal RNA". The record is from RNAcentral. Lineage: Eukaryota; Metazoa; Arthropoda; Arachnida; Araneae; Telemidae.